This 468-nucleotide ribosomal RNA is filed under the name uncultured bacterium. RNAcentral describes it as "partial 16S ribosomal RNA". It matches the Rfam family "Bacterial small subunit ribosomal RNA", at positions 28 to 507 of the family's 1533-position model. The record is from RNAcentral.
GACGAACGCUGGCGGCGUGCUUAACACAUGCAAGUCGAACGGAAAGGCCCUGCUUUUGUGGGGUGCUCGAGUGGCGAACGGGUGAGUAACACGUGAGUAACCUGCCCUUGACUUUGGGAUAACUUCAGGAAACUGGGGCUAAUACCGGAUAGGAGCUCCUGCUGCAUGUUGGGGGUUGGAAAGUUUCGGCGGUUGGGGAUGGACUCGCGGCUUAUCAGCUUGUUGGUGGGGUAGUGGCUUACCAAGGCUUUGACGGGUAGCCGGCCUGAGAGGGUGACCGGACACAUUGGGACUGAGAUACGGCCCAGACUCCUACGGGAGGAAGCAGUGGGGAAUAUUGCACAAUGGGCGGAAGCCUGAUGCAGCAACGCCGCGUGCGGGAUGACGGCCUUCGGGUUGUAAACCGCUUUCGCCUGUGACGAAGCGUGAGUGACGGUAAUGGGUAAAGAAGCACCGGCUAACUACGUG